UGGGGCAGAUCUCAGAUGUUCAUGUCUUGCUCCCCACUGCAUCAGCAUCGUCACUGACCCUAAUGUAGGAGAAAUGUAUGGUACUGGAAAGCCCCUCCUGGUACAUGGUUUGCCUGUACCACAGGUCUCACACCUCAUACCUUAAGAACAAAGGAUGCUGCAGGUGACCCUGUACUUUGCAUCCUGGUUCAUAUUAUUCCCCAGGUUUACUAUUACUCAGGGGAAGGAGGUAGGGAGCACUUUGAAGGGAUGCGGACUAGUCAGGCCAUAUCAGGUCAGAGUGCCAAUUCUCAUCCCAAUCUUGGUAGGGCUGGGGAUAGGAGGAACUGCAGCUCUCAGCACUGCCGCCCUUGCUCAGGGAAACCAGAAUUUCCAGGCUCUCAACAGAUUUUAGACCUUACUGAAUUAGGCAUUAAUUGCUGGGAGCCAUCAGACCAAGAUGCCUGGACAGAGUCAUGCGUGGUAGCUGGGGAGACCAGAGUGGACUGUGACUGCCCACUCUAUCCCCUUUACACGGCCUCCUUCGUCAAUGCCCCUUACCUAUGAAUUGACAUGAUUAUUAUUCCCUCUAGUCUCAAAAGAAAUAAUGCAAGAGUAAAUCACUUGUACCCUAGUCUCUAAAACACCACCAAAAGAUCAGACCCUCGAACCCAGUCCCAAAAAGACGAGUUAACUUUUAUUCUUGUACAUAAUUCCUAGCAAUACUGCAGUGGCAGAUCAAGCCCCAAAACUUCCCCACUCACAGAAGCCUGUUCUCAUGAAGUCAACAGAAAACCCGAGAGGCCCAAGUGAUAAGUACAAAUACAUCAAGCUUCAGUAUGCCUCAGUGACUCAGGAACUUCCUAGAAGCCACCAGUCUAAACUUGACUUGUGCUCCCAGACCCCUCAGCCUUGAUGAUAUGAUUGAAUGGUCUAAGAACUGCUGAUUAAUUAUUCCAUUUUUAUUAAAAGCUCAAAACUUCUUGCUCACAAAAAGGCAGUGAAUGACUAUAAUUCCAUCUGCUCUUUCUUUCAUUCUAUCAAUUUAUGGAGUGUAUUCUUCAAUUGCCCUCCCAACUUCAUCCAAGGCAGAGAGCAAAGCAUCUUUUUUCAGGUCCAAGAUACGGUUAAGCUCCUUAAAGUACUGGAGGACGGUUUCUUUAUCACUUUGGACAACUUGCUCCACAUGGGAUUUCUGGUCCAAUAACUUUUCAAGGAGCAGAGAGACAUCUCCCAAGGGACCUUCGGUCAACUGCUUGAAGAGUUUGGGGUGUCCUCGGUGCUCGCCUUUGGUAAGGCAGUGGCCACACACUGGCUCACGGUCCUGCAGGCAAUAGAUGUUGAGCGGCUGGCUGUGUUCAGGACAAAUGAAGAAUUCUUCCUUCUUGCAUUUUUCAAUAAGAGCCUUCACGGCAAGGUUGAUGGGCAAAGAGUCAAUGCCAGGGGGAGGGAUUUCAAUUAUUCGCCUGCAACUAAAACAAGUGAUGUUAAUCUGCUCGCAGACAUUCUCAGAUGCCUCAAGAACAUUUUCUUCAUCUUCCAGACAAUUUCUGCAAAACGUAUGGGAGCAUGGCAGGAUUCGAGGAUCCUCAAAUAUGUCAAUACAAAAGGGGCAUGUAAGUUCCUCCUCAAAAAAAUGCAUUUCCUGUGAAGAAAAAAAAUUGCUUUGAGUCACUUGCAAAUACUGAUUUUUAAACAGUUUCUAGUUGCUAAUAAGAGACCCAGAAUUCACUAAGCACCAAAUGCCUGCAAUUAAUGAGAAACAGAUCACGACCACCUAAAAUAAACUGGAGACUCCUGAAGAGGUGAUACUGCCA
Molecule: long non-coding RNA, 1796 nt
Filed under: Monodelphis domestica (gray short-tailed opossum)
Lineage: Eukaryota; Metazoa; Chordata; Mammalia; Didelphimorphia; Didelphidae
Description: lncRNA (ENSMODG00000034320.2)
Source: RNAcentral